UACGUAGGUGGCGAGCGUUGUCCGGAUUUACUGGGCGUAAAGGGAGCGUAGGCGGACUUUUAAGUGAGAUGUGAAAUACUCGGGCUCAACUUGAGUGCUGCAUUUCAGACUGGAAGUCUAGAGUGCAGGAGAGGAGAAUGGAAUUCCUAGUGUAGCGGUGAAAUGCGUAGAGAUUAGGAAGAACACCAGUGGCGAAGGCGAUUCUCUGGACUGUAACUGACGCUGAGGCUCGAAAGCGUGGGGAGCAAACAGG
RNAcentral lists this ribosomal RNA (253 nucleotides) under uncultured bacterium. RNAcentral describes it as "partial 16S ribosomal RNA". It matches the Rfam family "Bacterial small subunit ribosomal RNA", at positions 524 to 776 of the family's 1533-position model. The record is from RNAcentral.